AUAGCCUUUCGAAAGAGAGAUUAAUAACCCCGUAAUAAAUUGAACGGCAUCGUUUGAUUUGAAAGCUCCGGCGGUUUGAGAUGAGUAUGCGUCUGAUUAGCUAGUUGGUGAGGUAACGGCUCACCAAGGCGACGAUCAGUAGGGGACCUGAGAGGACUAACCCCCACACUGGUACUGAGACACGGACCAGACUCCUACGGGAGGCAGCAGUAAGGAAUAUUGGUCAAUGGAGGCAACUCUGAACCAGCCAUGCCGCGUGCAGGAUGACGGCCCUAUGGGUUGUAAACUGCUUUUAUACAAGAGAAAACCCUGGUACGUGUACCAAGUUGAUAGUAUUGUAAGAAUAAGCAUCGGCUAACUUCGUG
This 365-nucleotide ribosomal RNA is filed under the name uncultured bacterium. Its description in RNAcentral is "bacterial SSU rRNA". It matches the Rfam family "Bacterial small subunit ribosomal RNA", at positions 143 to 507 of the family's 1533-position model. The record is from RNAcentral.